GGGGCAUUAGCUCAGCUGGGAGAGCGCCUGCAUGGCAUGCAGGAGGUCAGCGGUUCGAUCCCGCUAUGCUCCACCA
This 76-nucleotide transfer RNA is filed under the name Alteromonas macleodii. Its description in RNAcentral is "tRNA-Ala". It matches the Rfam family "tRNA". From Rfam's summary of the family: Transfer RNA (tRNA) molecules are approximately 80 nucleotides in length. Their secondary structure includes four short double-helical elements and three loops (D, anti-codon, and T loops). Lineage: Bacteria; Pseudomonadati; Pseudomonadota; Gammaproteobacteria; Alteromonadales; Alteromonadaceae. RNAcentral also lists the same sequence under 99 other names. The record is from RNAcentral.